CGCUGGCGGCAUGCCUAACACAUGCAAGUCGAACGAGACCGUUCGGGUCUAGUGGCGCACGGGUGCGUAACGCGUAGGGAAUCUCGCCCCUUGGUUACGGAAUAACAGUUAGAAAUGACUGCUAAUACCGGAUGAUGACGAAAGUCCAAAGAUUUAUCGCCGAGGGAUGAGCCCGCGUAGGAUUAGCUAGUUGGUGAGGUAAAGGCUCACCAAGGCGACGAUCCUUAGCUGGUCUGAGAGGAUGAUCAGCCACACUGGGACUGAGACACGGCCAGACUCCUACGGGAGGCAGCAGUGGGGAAUAUUGGACAAUGGGCGAAAGCCUGAUCCAGCAAUGCCGCGUGAGUGAUGAAGGCCUUAGGGUCGUAAAGCUCUUUUACCAGGGAUGAUAAUGACAGUACCUGGAGAAUAAGCUCCGGCUAACUCCGUG
This 430-nucleotide ribosomal RNA is filed under the name uncultured bacterium. RNAcentral describes it as "bacterial SSU rRNA". It matches the Rfam family "Bacterial small subunit ribosomal RNA", at positions 34 to 507 of the family's 1533-position model. The record is from RNAcentral.